Molecule: long non-coding RNA, 1396 nt
Organism: Amblyraja radiata (thorny skate)
Lineage: Eukaryota; Metazoa; Chordata; Chondrichthyes; Rajiformes; Rajidae
Exons: 5
Source: RefSeq, a predicted model, not a curated record
UCCCACUCUCUCUCUAUCUAUCUCCCACCCUCUCUCUCUAUCUAUCUAUCUCCCUCAACCUCAAUCUGAUCCUUUCUUUCGUUUUUAUUUGGACAAAACAAAAACAACUUUCCAGCUCUUGAGAAGGAACGGGGAGGCGGGCACGUUAUGGUUCCGAGCCACCACAACACAAGCAACAGCUGUGAAGCACGAAUUGUGUUGAUAAAUAAUGCAACUGGAACGUGAAACUGCUAGAGUCUGUUCACCUCCCCCUCACCUUCUCGACAAGGAAGGGCCCGGGUCUUGAAGGUUUUGUAGAGUGAAGAUGAUUGUGAAAUUGUUUGGAAGAAAAUGGAACGAUAUAGGAACUUGGACACAAGCCAUUUCCUCAGAUGUCCAGUUUGUUACCCUCUUGAACUGAUUGAAGGAACAACUGCAAUGGAGGAUGGCGCAGAGAAAGGGAAAAUACAGAGAAAAACAACAACAUAAAAACGACAAAGAUGGAUAGGCAGAAUAUUCCUCCACUGUUUGGAAGUUCAGUAGAUAAUCAUUAACAUGGUAAGAGGCUGGAACUUACUUUAAAUGCCUAAUUGCUGGAAUUCUUCCACACAUCAGCAAGUUUGGAGUUUCCACCCUAAGAUGAAAGUCUUGAAUUUGUUGGCUGACUACACUCUGACGGACCGCAUGAAGAGUUUAGGAGUGGAGCUUGGAUUAGCAUACCACCAGUGAUUGUGUACCAAAACAGUGCAAGAACAAUGAGUCCAUUCAUAUCAAUGGAAGAGGAGUGGUUGCAAUGAAAUGAGGCUAUUCAUUAAUUUGUAUUUUUUAAAUAAUUACCUAUAUUUAAAUGCAAAAUUAUUUUGUGUUUCUAAAUGUUUUACUUUUUGAAAACAUUUAUUUAUUUUUCCUAUAUAAGUUUCAUUCAUUUUACAUAAUUUUGUAAAAGUACUUUGAAUGUUAGAGGCAUUUAGAAACAUCUAGUCCUCGAAAUGUUUGAAAAUUGGUUUAGCUGGGUUGCUGGGUUGCAGUGGUUGAGGAUAGUUGGGCAGGAGAUGCGCUGAUAAUAUUUUGUCAGCAUGCCGUUAGGGUUAGCCUGAUUGUUGUCCCCGGUUGACAAUCAGGGAUCAAGGUUCUUCAUUUUAAGGCUGUCGUGGCAUUGUGUAGUUUCUCAAGUUCAAUCUUAGCAUUGGCUUGGGGUGGGAUGUAGACUGCUGUCAGGGGAGCCAACAUGAAUGCCCACGGCAGGUAGUAGGGAUGAGACCUCACUGUAAGAUAUUCCAGUUCUAGGGAGCAGGUGCUCGCCAAGACUGCUACACUUUAGGGGCUGUCCCACUGUACGAGGUAAUUCAAGAGCUCUCCUGAGUUUAAUAUAAAAUCAAACUCAUGGUAAGUACGUAGAAUGUACGUAGCGGCUACG